UAGUUAGAAAUGCACGUUCUUAGGCCCCACCCUGGAUCUCCUGAAGCCGAAUCUCCAGGGCUGGGGCCCAGGAAUCUGCAUUUUACC
This 87-nucleotide microRNA precursor is filed under the name Loxodonta africana (African savanna elephant). RNAcentral describes it as "miRNA (ENSLAFG00000025008.1)". The record is from RNAcentral. Lineage: Eukaryota; Metazoa; Chordata; Mammalia; Proboscidea; Elephantidae.